UUGUAAGGUGUUUUUUUGGCUCUCCUUUAGUUCGUUCUCUCCGUCGCCUCCCGAUCCCAGCCGUCAAGAGGCGCGAUCCCGCGCCGUGCUCGAUACGGUGCCGCGCCGGCCGCCGGCCGACGACGGCGAUUGCAGCGCCCUUCGCCACCGUUUCGCUUCAACUCCUCUCCUCCGCGUGCCUGAGCUCCUUGCUGUGCGCCGCCCGGGAGGGCUCGCACUCGAUGCAGAACAUCGGCGGACGGAACUUGCAGGACCCAGAUCCGUGCGUGGCGAUGGGGAGGUCGCCGGUGACGCGUAGGAAGGCCGGAGUGCGGCUUCCCGGGCGGAUCCAUGGCGGCCCCUGGGCAGAAAGGAGAUAUGAGGUGAGGGAGAAAGAACGGACGGUGCGACGAUCUCGGCAGGAACUCGCAGGAGCCAGGCGACGGUAGACAGGCGCGGGAGACAGAGGGAUCCGGCGCGGCGGCGCGAAGUCCUUGCAGGUGGAUGCAUGUUGGGUUCCUCCGGCUGUCACCGACGUGCACUGACAGGUGAGGAACAUAGAAACAUGGUGAGUAUUUGAGGUGCCUUCUUUAGUUUUAGAAUUGUCUAACCCUCUAGGUACAUAUUAGUAGGAUGGACAUACUUCUGCACAACAUGGCCUUGAAAUACAGAAAUAGAUUAUGUCUUUUGUUAGACUAGAUUGUUGCCUAUGUUAUGCUGUUUGCAGGCUAUAAUUGUUCAUGGAGCCAUGCAAUUGGAGCUGAGGAAAUUAUCUGCAUGGAAUGUAGACAGAGGGACGAUCCUCAAUUUGUUAAUUGCAGAGGCCCACAGAAAGUAAGGUCGAUCUGUGUUUAUUUGAUGGUACUCAUGCUGUCAGGAUUGAAUCCGUUGUCGGUAAAGAAAAUGUUGGCUCGGAUGUUAUGGGCACAACCGGUGAGAUGGUUGUUGUGUGGAUAGAGAAUCAGCUCCAUGAAAACAAAACAAAGGAGCUGAUAUUGCAAUAGGUUAACCAGCUGCGUGAGCAUCUACGGAGCCCGAACAGGGAGUCAACAGUCAGCUGCUAUCAGAUCUCGAAAAUGCGGGUUCUUUUAAGACCACCAUGGAUCCCUCACCCCAAGUCAUGAUCCAGUUGCUGAAUGUCCACAAGAAAAUUUAUGUAUUAAAGGGACCUCAUUCCCCAAGCUACUGGACGAAAAAUAAAAUGUAUGCAUGCGCCAAUGAAGUCCAACAAUUAAUCCUCAUGUGUGUCCAAAUAUUUUGUCUGAGAAGUCCGAAUGUUCAGUGUUGGAAAAGUAUACCUCCCGCUGAUAGAACAAGGGAAAGAUCGUUUCGUUGAUGGCGAGUUCACACUGAUGCUGAUCACCGGCGCGCGUUGGCAGUGUCAUGCUGCUUGGUCGGCACUGCAACUACACAGCUAAGCAGGAGGUAGGUGAGGUGGGCCUGAGAUCUGGAGCAUCCAGCUAAGAGUGUUGAUUUUUGUGUGCGUUGGAUUUAGUACUUAUCAGUGAUAUUGAUGAUAGCGUCUCAAACUGGACUUUUUGAUCAUUUGAUAAACGUUUUGAAAUUCAAGCGUGGUCCUCUUAUGCAACCUGUGACCUAUUACUUCUUAAUUUAUGGACUUUAAGUUUCAGUCAUCCCUAUAUCAUCAGGUAAUAUAACAAGGCUGUUGUUUAGAUCAUAUAAUCAAGCAUGUCUUAUCGAAAUUAGUGAUUGCCAUGUUUGUUGAAUUAAAGUUUCACUUGUCAGAUCAGUUUCCACACAUUGAAUUUUACUUAGGGUACCUCUUAAGGUUUUACCUUCUGCAAAGGUAUAACACCUACAGAUGAUCCGAUUUUUCUUCUUCUAGAUCCCCAUGUGUGUGUGUAUAUGCGCGUGGGUAACUAAUUUGCCCCGUGUAUAGGUAGACAACGAUCAAUAUGAGAGGGUGCUCAGCUACAUAUUGAUCCUUGUCAAUUCAGUACAAAUUUACUGAAUUUACAGAUGGAGCUAUAUGUCCUCGGUGAUGUACAAGCAAACACUAAAUUGUUGCAGUGUACAAUGUCCCUGAGUAAUUCCUGGCGCUACAAGUUUUAAAAUAAAAAGAUGACGGGUCUCUACCAUAUUCAGCCUCCGCUUUAGAAUUUGAUUUGAACUAUAGGACAACCGAUUGCAUUUGGUAAUUUAUGCACUAAUUCUCGGUCCUUUGUGUGAGCUAUGUUUUCCUUGCGCUUUUGCUUCUUAUUUACAUAUUGGUAUGGUGUCAGGUUUACUUGCCUACAAGUUUGGUUCCACUUGGUACGGACACCGUGCUCUGCUGUCAGCAUAUCUGUAGUAUCAGGAUAUUGUUACGACCUUGAAUGCUGAAUUUAAGGAUGUCUUAUCAUGUAUUACUUUGACUCCCUUCUGAAUUAUGAGGUCAUCCCAUAGUCGUCCACUAAUCUGGUGUCUGGUCCAUCUUCUUACCCUUAUCAUCCUCUGUCCAAUCUUGCCCUGACUGUACAGAUUGUCGAAUACUUCAAACAAUGAGCAAUUUGAAGUUCAUAAAUAUGACAAAUAUCUGAAAAUGGAUUCAUUUUUGUUGAAAUAACAUUGUGUAGAGUGGAAAUGCAGAACUAUAUGUUCCUAUUUCAACAACUGGUAUUGAAUAUAUGGUCAACCUUCUUAGAAAAAACUACAAAGUCUAAACAUUAUCGUGUGAUGCAUAUGGAAAAUUGUGAUGUCUAUUUUUCUGAAAUAUUUUUACUUUAGAAAAAGUUUUAAACAUGCCAUUGCAUUAUGUUUCAUAUUUUUGGCCAAGACGCUCUGCGGGGCGAUGGCACAUGGUCGGCAAGGCAGCGUUCUACAGCGCACCAGCCCGCAACGGAGGCGGCGCCCACGGCGCAGCCGUGGCCUUCGGUGCGCACCGCGGGGGUAGUGCUACCGGCCGCUGGCACGGCCCCGGAGCUGCUUCCCCAGACGGUGGUGCCCAUGGCUGUGGGCCCAUUGGCCCCCGGCCGGGUUCCCUGCGGAGGCGCGCGGGUGGCGGCCUCUGACUUGAAGUCUUCUUGAGAUUUGUACGCCGAUUGCUUGGCCGUCGCUUUGUACUGUCACUACGUGUACUGAAGAUUAGUUAUUUUGCUUUGACUUGGAGUGAGGUGCAGCGGGUUCAGGUUGCUGCUGCUGAUUUUUUUGUAUGUGAUGUUCUAAUGAUUGUGUGUCUGACCAAGCGUAGUUGCGCUUCUGACAAUGUAUUGGCCUUCCUUUGCUGCACCGAAGUUAGUGAAUUGUUCACCAUGCUUGACUUUGUUCUAAGCAGGGAAAUUUGUGGUGAUUUGUAAUCAAACUUGCAAAGAACAUCAUUACUUCUGAUUAUGUUUGAAGAGAUAUGAUGGAUGGUUGAUCUGA
Molecule: non-coding RNA, 3342 nt
Organism: Aegilops tauschii subsp. strangulata
Lineage: Eukaryota; Viridiplantae; Streptophyta; Magnoliopsida; Poales; Poaceae
Source: RefSeq, a predicted model, not a curated record